ACUCCUACGGGAGGCAGCAGUGAGGAAUAUUGGUCAAUGGAGGGAACUCUGAACCAGCCAUCCCGCGUGUAGGAAGACGGCCUUAUGGGUUGUAAACUACUUUUAUACAGGAAGAAACGUACCCUCGUGAGGGUGCCUGACGGUACUGUAGGAAUAAGCACCGGCUAACUCCGUGCCAGCAGCCGCGGUAAUACGGAGGGGUUAGCGUUGUUCGGAAUUACUGGGCGUAAAGCGCACGUAGGCGGAUCGGAAAGUUGGGGUGAAAUCCCGGGCUCAACCCGGAACGGCCUCCAAACUAAUCGGUCUAGAGUUCGAGAGAGGUGAGUGGAAUUCCGAGUGUAGAGGUGAAAUUCGUAGAUAUUCGGAGGAACACCAGUGGCGAAGGCGGCUCACUGGCUCGAUACUGACGCUGAGGUGCGAAAGUGUGGGGGAGCAAACAGGAUUAGAUACCCGGGAGGCUCU
RNAcentral lists this ribosomal RNA (462 nucleotides) under uncultured bacterium. Its description in RNAcentral is "bacterial SSU rRNA". It matches the Rfam family "Bacterial small subunit ribosomal RNA", at positions 335 to 797 of the family's 1533-position model. The record is from RNAcentral.